UCUCCGUAGGUGAACCUGCGGAGGGAUCAUUAACACGUUUAUAACAAACGUUUAUCAACCAAAACCGUGAACAUAUAAAACACAACUCCCUUCACAUAUGUGACGUACGAACAACCAUCAGAGUGGAGUGUGGGCGAUAACAUUCGUUAUCCUCACAACUAUGGCUCGUCUAGGGUUCAUCGAGACCCAAUCCUAUGUGAAGUGUAUUUGCGACCACCUGGUAGUUUGUCUACAUUUCAGUUCUACCCGAAUUGAUCUAAGUAGCUUUCUGCCGAAUUUUUUAACACAAUGUUUAACCCCAUUAAAAACAUAAUAUAAACUGAACCAUUUUUUCAAAAAUAAACUUUAAUUAGUUUUAUUUAUGGAAAAGAUAUACGUAAUGCUGAACAACUCUUAGCAAUGGAUAUCUUGGUUCUC
RNAcentral lists this unclassified non-coding RNA (417 nucleotides) under plant metagenome. RNAcentral's name for it is "partial contains small subunit ribosomal RNA, internal transcribed spacer 1, and 5.8S ribosomal RNA". The record is from RNAcentral.